RNAcentral lists this transfer RNA (68 nucleotides) under Chalcopteryx rutilans. RNAcentral's name for it is "tRNA-Ser". The record is from RNAcentral. Lineage: Eukaryota; Metazoa; Arthropoda; Insecta; Odonata; Polythoridae.
UAGGAAGAAUUAAUCGAGGAUAAGCUGCUAACUUAGCCCUCUAGCGGUUAAAUUCCGUUACUCCCUUA